Molecule: transfer RNA, 61 nt
Filed under: Ictidomys tridecemlineatus (thirteen-lined ground squirrel)
Lineage: Eukaryota; Metazoa; Chordata; Mammalia; Rodentia; Sciuridae
Description: Spermophilus tridecemlineatus (thirteen-lined ground squirrel) tRNA
Rfam family: tRNA
About the family: Transfer RNA (tRNA) molecules are approximately 80 nucleotides in length. Their secondary structure includes four short double-helical elements and three loops (D, anti-codon, and T loops).
Source: Rfam by way of RNAcentral
UGUGGCUCAGUGGCAGAGUGCUUGUUUCACAUGCAUGAGGCUCUGGGUUUGAUCCUCAGCA